Pseudogymnoascus pannorum is the source of this 267-nucleotide non-coding RNA. It matches the Rfam family "Fungal signal recognition particle RNA". The record is from Rfam. NCBI's taxonomy places the organism in Eukaryota, Fungi, Ascomycota, Leotiomycetes, Thelebolales, Thelebolaceae.
CGGCUGUGAUGGUCAUCUGGUAAGGAACUGCAUUUGCACUAUCCUACCACUCUAUUCUAUCCUAUCACAUGGUGUCCGGUUCGAACGCUGCGGUGGCCCCCAACUCGUGUCGGUAACGCACGAUUGCUUGUGGGGUCCUAAGCAAUGAAAGACAAUCUUGAGGGAGGUUUCACUCUGCAGAGGAUCUUUCACCGUGGCGUGGCGAGUGGGAUUGCAUCAGUAAUGGGUGAGUGGUGAGAAGCGCAUCGGAUGUGGUGACUUAUAUUU